RNAcentral lists this ribosomal RNA (468 nucleotides) under uncultured bacterium. RNAcentral's name for it is "partial 16S ribosomal RNA". It matches the Rfam family "Bacterial small subunit ribosomal RNA", at positions 28 to 507 of the family's 1533-position model. The record is from RNAcentral.
GACGAACGCUGGCGGCGUGCUUAACACAUGCAAGUCGAACGGAAAGGCCCUGCUUUUGUGGGGUUCUCGAGUGGCGAACGGGUGAGUAACACGUGAGUAACCUGCCCUUGACUUUGUGAUAACUUCAGGAAACUGGGGCUAAUACCGGAUAGGAGCUCCUGCUGCAUGGUGGGGGUUGGAAAGUUUCGGCUGUUGGGGAUGGACUCGCGGCUUAUCAGCUUGUUGGUGGGGUAGUGGCUUACCAAGGCUAUGACGGGUAGCCGGCCUGAGAGGGUGACCGGCCACAUUGGGACUGAGAUACGGCCCAGACUCCUACGGGAGGCAGCAGUGGGGAAUAUUGCACAAUGGGCGGAAGCCUGAUGCAGAAACGCCGCGUGCGGGAUGACGGCCUUCGGGUUGUAAACCGCUGUCGCCUGUGACGAAGCGUGAGUGACGGUAAUGGGUAAAGAAGCACCGGCUAACUACGUG